Molecule: long non-coding RNA, 459 nt
Filed under: Theobroma cacao (cacao)
Lineage: Eukaryota; Viridiplantae; Streptophyta; Magnoliopsida; Malvales; Malvaceae
Description: long non-coding RNA (TCAC_LNC004555)
Source: RNAcentral
UCUCUUUCCCUCUCACCACCGGUCACCCUUUCUUGCCUUUCAACUUUUAAUUUUUUCAACAGCUAAAGCUGCUUAUUUUUGCUUCAAAAUCAGUAGCUAUGCUGCUCUGUUUUUUUCUUAAAAUUUCAGCAGCUACGCUGUACCUUUCGCUCCAAAAAUUUGCAGCCAAAACAACCAUAAUUAACCAUCAAAACAGAACCUCAAAACUUUCAAUUUUCUGCUGCAAAAUUCUGCACUUUUUGGCCUCCAAAACCAGCAAAAAAAUGGUACUUUCUAGCCUCCAAAACUAGCAAAAAAAUGGCUCUUUUCAGCCUCCAAAAUCAGCCCUUAAAUGGCUCUCUUUUCCUUCUUGAAUGGUAGCAAAAACAGCCCCUCAACUCAACUCUCUUUUCCUUUUGUUUUCCUUUCUCAUGCACGGUUUUCUUUUUGUUUUUCUUUCUCUCGGUUCUUUCUUCUUCC